RNAcentral lists this ribosomal RNA (405 nucleotides) under uncultured bacterium. RNAcentral describes it as "partial 16S ribosomal RNA". It matches the Rfam family "Bacterial small subunit ribosomal RNA", at positions 30 to 526 of the family's 1533-position model. The record is from RNAcentral.
AUUGAACGCUAGCGGGAUGCUUUACACAUGCAAGUCGAACGAGUGGCGGAUGGGUGAGUAAUAUAUUGGAACGUGACCAGUAGCGGGGGAUAACUACUAGAAAGAGUGGAUAAUACAGCAUACUAUUGGGUCGGCCGAUAUCGAAUUAGCUAGUUGGUGGGGUAAGGGUUCACCAAGGCAACGAUCCGUAGCUGGUUUGAGAGGACGACCAGCCACACGUGGACUGAGACACGGCCCAGACGCCUACGGGAGGCAGCAGUGGGGAAUUUUUGACAAUGGGGGAAACCCUGAUCCAGCCAUCCCGCGUGUAUGAGAAGGCCUUCGGGUUGUAAAGUACUUUUGGCAGAGAAGCGGUAUCUGCAGAAUAAGCACCGGCUAACUACGUGCCAGCAGCCGCGGUAAUAC